AAUAAAAGAAUGUUAAGCCUGGAAGGUCACGACCUGCAAAGAGGAUGGCAUGCCUUUUUGUGGGAAACAGGAACUAGGAAGCAACAGUAUUUUCAUAGGCAUUUAAUUAGGGACUCUGUUACAAAACUAUCCCCCCAGUGCAUAUGU
Non-coding RNA from Pseudonaja textilis, 147 nucleotides. The record is from RefSeq and is a predicted model, not a curated record. NCBI's taxonomy places the organism in Eukaryota, Metazoa, Chordata, Lepidosauria, Squamata, Elapidae.